AGCGAACGCUGGCGGCAGGCUUAACACAUGCAAGUCGAACGCUCGUAGCAAUACGGGAGUGGCAGACGGGUGAGUAACGCGUGGGAACAUGCCCUUUGGUUCGGAAUAACUCAGGGAAACUUGAGCUAAUACCGGAUAAGCCCGAGAGGGGAAAGAUUUAUCGCCGAAGGAUUGGCCCGCGUCCGAUUAGCUAGUUGGUGAGGUAACGGCUCACCAAGGCGACGAUCGGUAGCUGGUCUGAGAGGAUGAUCAGCCACACUGGGACUGAGACACGGCCCAGACUCCUACGGGAGGCAGCAGUGGGGAAUAUUGGACAAUGGGGGCAACCCUGAUCCAGCCAUGCCGCGUGAGUGAUGAAGGCCUUAGGGUUGUAAAGCUCUUUCGGCGGGGACGAUAAUGACGGUACCCGCAGAAGAAGCCCCGGCUAACUUCGUGCCAGCCGCCGCAGUAA
Molecule: ribosomal RNA, 451 nt
Filed under: uncultured bacterium
Lineage: Bacteria
Description: partial 16S ribosomal RNA
Rfam family: Bacterial small subunit ribosomal RNA
Source: RNAcentral